AGAGUUUGAUCCUGGCUCAGAACGAACGCUGGCGGCGUGCUUAACACAUGCAAGUCGAACGAGAAUCGGAGCUUGCUCCGAGGAUAGUGGCGCACGGGUGAGUAACGCGUGGAUAACCUGCCCUGGUAUCUGGGAUAACAUCUCGAAAGGGGUGCUAAUACCGGAUAAGCCCACGGGAACUUUGGUUCUUGCGGGAAAAGGUGGCCUCUGAAUAUGCUACUGUAUCAGGAUGGGUCCGCGUACCAUUAGCUAGUUGGUGGUGUAAUGGACCACCAAGGCGACGAUGGUUAGCUGGUCUGAGAGGAUGAUCAGCCACACUGGAACUGACACACGGUCCAGACUCCUACGGGAGGCAGCAGUGGGGAAUAUUGCGCAAUGGGCGAAAGCCUGACGCAGCAACGCCGCGUGAGGGAUGAAGGUUCUCGGAUUGUAAACCUCUGUCGGGGGGGACAAAACCUAUGCUGGCUAAUAUCCAGCAUAAUUGAUGGUACCCCCAAAGGAAGCACCGGCUAACUCCGUGCCAGCAGCCGCGGUAAUACGGAGGGUGCAAGCGUUGUUCGGAAUUAUUGGGCGUAAAGCGCACGUAGGUGGCUUUAGAAGUCCGGUGUGAAAUCCCUCGGCUUAACCGAGGAAGUGCGCCGGAAACCAUAAAGCUAGAGUAUCGGAGGGGAGAGUAGAAUUCCCAGUGUAGAGGUGAAAUUCGUAGAUAUUGGGAGGAAUACCGGUGGCGAAAGCGACUCUCUGGACGAUUACUGACACUAAAGUGCGAAAGCGUGGGUAGCAAACAGGAUUAGAUACCCUGUAGUCCACGCCGUAACGAUGGGUACUAGUGUCACGGGAUUUGACCCCUGUGGUGCCGUCGCUAACGCAUUAAGUACCCCGCCUGGGANUANGNCGCAAGNUGAAACUCAAGGAAUUGACGGGGCCCGCACAAGCGUGGAGCAUGUGGUUCAUUCGACGCACGCGAGANNUACUAGCUGACAUGUAAGGAUCUGAUGAAGUCGGANNCCGCAGGANCUCUAACACAGNGCUGCAUG
Molecule: ribosomal RNA, 1037 nt
Filed under: uncultured bacterium
Lineage: Bacteria
Description: bacterial SSU rRNA
Rfam family: Bacterial small subunit ribosomal RNA
Source: RNAcentral